GUGGCGCACGGGUGCGUAACGCGUGGGAAUCUGCCCUGGGGUACGGAAUAACAGUGAGAAAUUACUGCUAAUACCGUAUGAUGACGUAAGUCCAAAGAUUUAUCGCCCUGGGAUGAGCCCGCGUAGGAUUAGCUAGUUGGUGGGGUAAAGGCCUACCAAGGCGACGAUCCUUAGCUGGUCUGAGAGGAUGAUCAGCCACACUGGGACUGAGACACGGCCCAGACUCCUACGGGAGGCAGCAGUGGGGAAUAUUGGACAAUGGGCGAAAGCCUGAUCCAGCAAUGCCGCGUGAGUGAUGAAGGCCUUAGGGUUGUAAAGCUCUUUUACCCGGGAAGAUAAUGACUGUACCGGGAGAAUAAGCCCCGGCUAACUCCGUG
This 377-nucleotide ribosomal RNA is filed under the name uncultured bacterium. RNAcentral describes it as "bacterial SSU rRNA". It matches the Rfam family "Bacterial small subunit ribosomal RNA", at positions 95 to 507 of the family's 1533-position model. The record is from RNAcentral.